GAUUAUGAUGAUCAUAAAUGUAAACGUUAAGCAUUUACUUAGAAAUAUUGCUUUAAUUGUUAGAAAUUUACAUAGGUGAUUAAAAUAAGUAGUUAACGUCUUUCUUUUAAUGGGGACGAUUAGUUCCUUUUUAGGAAUUAAACUGAGGUAGUAUAAUUGAACGCACCUAUAGAAUCCAUAAUGCAUCCAUAAUAUAGAAAUAAUUUUUAUCUAUGGAUCUUCCUGUUGUCUAUCGUCUGUCAUCUCCUCACUCAUCCUGUCUGUAGACGCGACGUUUGCCGGUUAGUUGCUGUAUUGCUCUUCUUUAAUGGAAGCGAUGUUUGAAGACAUGACUUGGAGAUGGCGUUGUUGGAUUAGAUUGCCGAACAAUUUACGGAUGUAGUGUUUUUAGCAGUCAGACACUUAUUUUUUAUUUCCAAGAAUGCUUCCAGUGAGCUGGUCGAAAAAUUCUGUAGACAUCGGAUGUGAAUGAUGUUUCUAUUAAAAUUUAAUAAAUAAGCACAGAGAGGGCAAACCAAAAGGACUUCAAAACGUGAAGAUACAGAGCCCCAUUCAUGCUUUUUCUACUUGGUCUUAGAGAGGUGGCAUUCGUAUGAAGGGUCGUCAUUUCAGCAUAUAAAGGAACGUCGUCGAUAUGACAAAUAAGGGCUGGAUACUUGGAGAAGUACAGUGCUGUUAAUGUUGUCUCUCCUGGACCUGAGGAUCUUCUGUAGAAAAGGUUAUCAUUUAAAAUUAUUAAAUGAACAAGGAGACAAAAAACAAGAAGGAUUCCAAACAUGGAGAAGUGGAGCCCUGUUAAUGUUCCGUCCUUUUAGAUUUGAAAAGUGCAAUUUUUUGAGAACAAAUGAAGUCCAAUUCACAUUGAUGUAUUUAGGAAUAAAACUUGAGCAUCGUACAAUUAACCUCGAGAUCGUUCAAAUGGUGAGAAAGGAAGAAUUAAUGUUCAGAUUGAUGGUAUUGCAACAGCCAAUGUCUUGUCUUGAUUUGCUGUUUUCGUCUUCAACUUGCAACAUUAUGCAGUUAAUAUUCAACCGAUGAGUGUGAGCCAGAGAAGAUUUAUAUAAAUCUCACUGAAACAAGUUUUCUGCUAUGAUAUUCCUUCUGGAUUUAGUUUGCUUUUCACACAUGCAAACUUGGGAACUUUACAGUAGUCUACUGUUUGCUAAGGUGAGAAUAUUUAAUAUAAUUACUAUUAAUUGCUCUUUAUUAAUCUGUUACCACCGUAUCUGUUUCAGAUCGACGUUGGAGAAGACAAAGAUGACCCCGUAGUUAAAAUAGUUCUUUUGUCUUGCAUGCUCUACCAAAUAGAAAUAAUUCUUUUAGUCCAAAUUCAGAUUAAUUUUUUAUUUUGAAUGUUUUUUUUUU
Molecule: long non-coding RNA, 1365 nt
Filed under: Agrilus planipennis (emerald ash borer)
Lineage: Eukaryota; Metazoa; Arthropoda; Insecta; Coleoptera; Buprestidae
Description: uncharacterized LOC108736332, transcript variant X1
Source: RNAcentral